AGUGAACGCUGGCGGUAGGCCUAACACAUGCAAGUCGAACGGCAGCACAGUAAGAGCUUGCUCUUACGGGUGGCGAGUGGCGGACGGGCGAGGAAUACAUCGGAAUCUACUUUUUCGUGGGGGAUAACGUAGGGAAACUUACGCUAAUACCGCAUACGACCUACGGGUGAAAGCAGGGGAUCUUCGGACCUUGCGCGAUUGAAUGAUCCGAUGUCGGAUUAGCUAGUUGGCGGGGUAAAGGCCCACCAAGGCGACGAUCCGUAGCUGGUCUGAGAGGAUGAUCAGCCACACUGGAACUGAGACACGGUCCAGACUCCUACGGGAGGCAGCAGUGGGGAAUAUUGGACAAUGGGCGCAAGCCUGAUCCAGCCAUACCGCGUGGGUGAAGAAGGCCUUCGGGUUGUAAAGCCCUUUUGUUGGGAAAGAAAAGCAGCAGGUUAAUACCCCGCUGUUCUGACGGUACCCAAAGAAUAAGCACCGGCUAACUUCGUG
Molecule: ribosomal RNA, 492 nt
Filed under: uncultured bacterium
Lineage: Bacteria
Description: partial 16S ribosomal RNA
Rfam family: Bacterial small subunit ribosomal RNA
Source: RNAcentral